GCAAACAAGUAAAGCCGAACGGCUAUACUAUUUUUGAAAAUAAUAUAUAUAUAUAUAUAUAUAUUUAAACAGUAUAGCCGGGCGGCUAUACUGUUUAAAAAUAUAUAUAUAUAUUAUUUUUGUUCAAUAAUAUGUGAGAAUAUGAAUAUAAUACUUGAAUUUUGUGUGCCUUAUUGAAAUUUUAAUAAAAAAAAUACGUGUAUUAAACUUGAGAAAUACGUGCGG
Molecule: long non-coding RNA, 225 nt
Filed under: Prunus persica (peach)
Lineage: Eukaryota; Viridiplantae; Streptophyta; Magnoliopsida; Rosales; Rosaceae
Description: long non-coding RNA (PPER_LNC008440)
Source: RNAcentral